UACGAAGGUGGCAAGCGUUGUUCGGAUUUACUGGGCGUAAAGGGUGCGUAGGUGGCGGGGUAAGUCAGGUGUGAAAUCUCCGGGCUUAACCCGGAAAGGUCAACUGAUACUGCAGGGCUAGAGUGCAGAAGGGGCAACUGGAAUUCUCGGUGUAGCGGUGAAAUGCGUAGAUAUCGGGAGGAACACCAGUGGCGAAGGCGGCGAUCUGGGAAGAUACUGACGCUGAGGUGCGAAAGCGUGGGGAGCAAACAGG
This 253-nucleotide ribosomal RNA is filed under the name uncultured bacterium. RNAcentral describes it as "partial 16S ribosomal RNA". It matches the Rfam family "Bacterial small subunit ribosomal RNA", at positions 524 to 776 of the family's 1533-position model. The record is from RNAcentral.